This is a long non-coding RNA of Falco peregrinus (peregrine falcon), 852 nucleotides long. RefSeq lists it as uncharacterized. NCBI's taxonomy places the organism in Eukaryota, Metazoa, Chordata, Aves, Falconiformes, Falconidae. The transcript is spliced from 3 exons. The record is from RefSeq and is a predicted model, not a curated record.
CUCUGUGCGGGCCGUGUCGGCCGCCGCUGGCCGGGGCGGGGUGCCCUGUCCCAGUGAGGAAGUGAAGUGUCUGGAGGCGAGGGGAAGGCGGGCCGGACCGCGGCCCGCCGCUUUCGUACGAGCCCCGGCCGGGAGACGGCUGCUUCUCCACAGGCUGGCCGGGACGCCUGCCAAGUUAUGGUGUAUGUUGCCCUUAAUCCUAGGAGGGAGAGAUUGAAAUAGCAGCGGACUUCCAAGUUUGCCCUGACUCUUCCGCUCUGUGCAGAUUGCCAUACACUCAGCAUUGCUUCUUUGUUAUCAGAUGCCCAAAAUGAAUUUUUCUUCUUGAGUGAAAUCAUCAUGCCUACCAGCUGUAGAGAAACCUCUAAAGUCAAUCACAACAACGUAGUUUGUGAGAAUCCUGCAGUUCUUGAAGCUGUUCUUCAAGUACCUUCUCCAGCCCUUCAUCAAUGUUACCUGCUCCCUUUUUCUCAAACAUGAAGGUAAGAAAGAAGGAACAGAAUCAGAAACAGUGGUGAAACACAAUUGUGCUAUUUUCAUUCUGCUGCUAAUUGGUAAUAUAACAAAUUUGGGAAUGUGAUUAUAGAAACAUAAGAGGAGGAGAAUAGUGGACUUGAUCUAGGUCCAUUCCAGGCCUAGAUCCUAUUUUCUGUGCAGGACAGUACUGUAAUGGUGGCUUUUGCCACGUACGCAGAUUCAAGAGACAACUGAGAAUUAAUCACUUCAUCACCUUUGAUACACUGCUACAGUGCCCAGAUGUCAUUUGAUCCUAACUCUUACUAACUUCAGCUCCUUUUUAGUACCUUUAGCUUAGGUACGGUACUGAGUACAUGGUAGUAAAUAGAGAGUAAG